UUGGAACACUGGGGAGGAUUUCUUACCUGGUGACUUAGAAAGGGAAGAAACUGGUCAAGGUUUGGUGUAGCCCUUCCCUGGAAGCCUCUUGCACAUGGCUUAUAGUGCAGGAUACCCCUCUGAGAACAGAGAGUCACCUCUUGGAUCCCUCUUGGCUCACCUGUCUUCUCUGAGGAUUUAUUUUUUUACGUGCCUUAUAUUGUGGUCCUUACUGCAGAAGAUGCUAAGAAAGAAAAUUAAUAAAGAGCAUUUUCUUUAAUUACCACUUAACUACAAAAGGAGAGAAUUUAGCUCAGCAUCUAAUUUUGUUGAUGAAAAUUUCUAAAGAUGCUUUAAAAAAUUUAAAUGAAGAAUCUCUCUCACUGAUCUAGGAUUUUUUUUUCUUCUUAAGGAGAAAUUGACUUCAUUCCAGUCAUGGCUGUUAAUAUCACUGGCCUCCUUCUUCUCUCCCUCCACUGCAUGCUGCCUCCUUCAGUAAAGCACACUGUUUGAAACAGACAGACACUGGGUUUUAGCCAUCAGUGGGCAGUGGGUUUGGUGGGCAACAUGCCAUAGCAGGAGAAUAUAGUGGCUGGUCAUAGUUACUUGAGUUUGAACCCUGGCUCUGUCCAGUAAGAGUAAAUGACUUCGUUCCUUUGUACCUUCAAUUUCUCAUUUCAUCUCUUUUGGGGACUGGUAUCUCUAUGCAAAGCACUUAGCAGGAUGUCUGGCAUAAUAAGGAUGAAACAAAUAGAAAAUAAUAUUGCUUUAUUUGGGGGUAGGCAUGGGACUUAACACAGCUUCUAGAAACUGUUGACCUCUUCAUCUUUCUAAAAUAAUUGUUUUAGGGCUUAUCUGGGUCACAGACUCUAUGGAGAGGCUGAUGAACGCCCCUGGUGUCUUUCCCCAGAAAAAGGAAAUAUGCAGAUGAUGCAAAAUUUUGCUUUUAUUGAUUGCUUACUGUUUGUAGCCCAGUGAUUCUCAAUAUGUUCCACUAUGGGUAUCUUUUAUUUAAUGUCAGUAUGUUUUGCUUUUUACUCUCCUUCCUCAACAUACAAGUACUGGAAGUUUUCACCUUGUUGAUUGAGAAAAUACCUAAUGACACGCAGAGACCCUGAAUUCCAUAAUACCGUUAGGAGAUUUUGCAUUUCGUCAAUCACAGCAGCACCUACACAGCUUUGAAAGGAACAGUUGUAAAUACUUCUAUGGGCUGCAUGAUUGAUUCCAUCUGCAUUCAAUGAUUGGUACCCAUGUGGAUUCCUCCAUUGUUGGAAACCUCUCUGGCAGAGAAGGUUUAUGGAUUCAAAGACUGGAAGGGAAUCAAAGGAUCAUUCAAUCUAGCUUCAUUAUACUGCAUAAUGCUGAGGUCAAAGGAGGGAAACCAACUUUUUCAAAAUCACACAGCCAGAUAGUAGCAGCGAGGAGACCAGAACCCAGAAUCCCUAUAGCUUAAUGGCUGCCUGAAGCCGACUCUCUCUCUGGCAGUUAGGAGUUGGUGAAGAGUCUUUCUCCUCCACCAGCCAGUGGUCAUUGGUCUGUAGGGAGUGAACUGGGAAAUGAAGCUUGGCAAAUGACUGCAGCUCAAAGCUAGAGUGACCGUGUAAUUUAUCUUCCAAACUGGGACACAUCUGAGAGAGAAAGCGAGCACUAUUAAUAAUUAUUCCGGGGCAAUAGGUGUAAACCAAGACUAUUCUGGGCAAGCCAGGACAUCGGGUCACCCUGCUGAAAACCCACCUCAGCUUACCAAGGACCUAUUUCAGAGUACUUUAAAGGCCAUUCAGCAAUCAGGAUGACUUGCUCGAAGGAAUUUGGGCCAAAUAUCUGACCACCUUCAUGUCUUGAAAGCACAGCAAAAAAGCUUUGAAUUCUGGAAACUCACUGGAAAUUGCUGUAGACCCCUGAGAUAUUUUGGCUCCCUAUUUCUGAGACCCUAUAGCAACUCAGAUCCCCUCAUCCUUUAUUCUUUCCUAUCACAAGUACUAGCUCCUUCCCAGUCCCUCUGUAGGAAAAUGUUGGCAUCUGCGAGGCAGCUUGGGCAAUUAUUUCUUUAGAGCUUGUCAGCAUAGUAAGGGGUCUACUGAACCUGGAGAGGGUGUGGGAUCAGGUGUUCUGCUGGAUACCCUUGAACAAUUCCUUCUUCUCUCUCUAGUUCUCAUGUCUAUGAAACUAAAGGUGGGGCUAAUUCACUGGUGCCUUACAUUAGUCAGAGUGAGCUGGGUUGUGCUGCUAUAACAAAUAGCCCUCAAUUCUAAGGGAAUUUAUACAACAAAGAUUUAUUUCCCGCACUGCUUUAACAGAGGUGGGUAGAGUGGGCUCUGCUCUUCAUAGUCUUCCAGGGUCCAUGCAAGUGAUGGGACCUAAAUACUUUUACCUAAAAGUGACAUGUGCCAUUUACAUCCCAUUGGCCCCAAUCAGUCACGUGGAAACACUUAAGAAGGCAGAGACAAAUGGUCCUGUCAUGGAGAAUCAGAAUAUUCAUAAAUGCUCCCAUGACUACUCCACCGCCAAAUUUUCCUAGGUUUAUAUUUCAAGUGAAAUAAUAAUUUUAUCCCCCUACCCCACAAAGGAAAUUUAAUCAAGAAGCAUGCACU
RNAcentral lists this long non-coding RNA (2570 nucleotides) under Canis lupus familiaris (dog). RNAcentral's name for it is "lncRNA (ENSCAFG00000052487.1)". The record is from RNAcentral. Lineage: Eukaryota; Metazoa; Chordata; Mammalia; Carnivora; Canidae.